UACGGGGGGGGGCAAGCGUUGUUCGGAAUUACUGGGCGUAAAGGGUGCGUAGGCGGCGCGGUAAGUCGGGUGUGAAAUCUCGGGGCUUAACUCCGAAACUGCAUUCGAUACUGCCGUGCUUGAGGACUGGAGAGGAGACUGGAAUUUACGGUGUAGCGGUGAAAUGCGUAGAUAUCGUAAGGAAGACCAGUGGCGAAGGCGGGUCUCUGGACAGUUCCUGACGCUGAGGCACGAAGGCCAGGGGAGCAAACGGG
RNAcentral lists this ribosomal RNA (254 nucleotides) under uncultured bacterium. Its description in RNAcentral is "partial 16S ribosomal RNA". It matches the Rfam family "Bacterial small subunit ribosomal RNA", at positions 524 to 776 of the family's 1533-position model. The record is from RNAcentral.